GCUCCAGUGGCGCAAUGGGUUAGCGUGUGGUACUUAUAUAGCAGUACUCAAUAGAGCAAUGCCAAGGUUGUGAGUUCAAACCUCACCUGGAGUA
Molecule: transfer RNA, 94 nt
Filed under: Scleropages formosus (Asian bonytongue)
Lineage: Eukaryota; Metazoa; Chordata; Actinopteri; Osteoglossiformes; Osteoglossidae
Rfam family: tRNA
About the family: Transfer RNA (tRNA) molecules are approximately 80 nucleotides in length.
Source: Rfam by way of RNAcentral